Molecule: long non-coding RNA, 1067 nt
Filed under: Anas platyrhynchos platyrhynchos (common mallard)
Lineage: Eukaryota; Metazoa; Chordata; Aves; Anseriformes; Anatidae
Description: lncRNA (ENSAPLG00000020201.1)
Source: RNAcentral
CGAGCAGCACGCGGGGAGGGGAGAGACCUCCCCAAAACCCGGGGGUGUGCUAAGGCGGGGGGUCUUUGGGAUCCCCCCCUGCAGCACCGCGUCCUGCCCUGGCGGGGGGGACCCCAAAACCCUUCUCCCCCUGCCCUGACCCCGCUGAACCCCGGCUGGGAGCUGGGCACGGGGCGACGCCGGUGGCGGGGGGCUCGGCCAGGCGUGGCGGGGGGGGCACGGGGCCAGCAGCAAGCUGGGGCUUGCUGAUGAGCUUUCGGCUGUAAUUAGCGGCGGGGCAGGACCCGCCCAAAGCUCCUCGCUUGGCGUUUUCACACGCACACCCCUCGCACCCUUCCCGGCCCUGGGGGUGUUUCUCCUCUCCCCAAAUCCCUACGGACGGGUCCAGCCCCAGGGCCUGGGGGGGGCUCAGAGGGUGCCCUGCGUUCGUGGGGCCCCCCAGGCCAGCACGGGACAGACGGACACGGGGACGUCCCGUGGGCUCCUGCCUCCGUCCCUGGAGGCUCUGAACCGGGGGGCUGGGGACGGCCCCGUCCCCCGGUACCUGCUCUCUGUCCCCUCCCAGCCACCUCUCGUUUUGCUUCCCGGUCCAUUUUGCCUGGUUUCUCCCCAAAAUGUGCCAUUUCUGCCAGCUGGAGGGGAAAGCCCCCUGCACCCUGCUGGUGCCUGGAGCAGCUUUGCCAUUUCCCUGGAGCUUGGAGGCUCCAACCCCCUUUUCCCUCAUCCCUUUUCACUGAAAACCAGCGUCCUGGCCCCAAACAGCGCUGUGGGGUGGGGAAACGCUCCGUGCCCCCAGUCCUCGAAGCAAAGCCGUGUAAAUGUGCACCCCCUUUGUGCCCUCCACCCCCUUUUCAGCACAGCCCCUCGCAGCUCCAAAUUGGCCCAAAUUCGGGUGCCCCUGUGGGCAGCCCUGAGUGCUCCUGUUCCUUUUGGGGUGCUCGGAGAGGGGGCAGCGGUGCCUGGGUGGGGGGGUUCUGAGUGCUCUGGGGCCGUGCGGCUCUGAGCUUGGCACCCAGUUCUCACUGCCUGGCAGCCGGGGCUCAGGUUUUGCACCAUUUCUGAGGGAC